AUGCCUUUCUCGGCCUUUUGGCUAAGAUCAAGUGUAGUAUCUGUUCUUAUCAGAUUAAUAUCUGAUAUGUGGGUCAAUGAUUCACAUGAUAUUAAAUUACUUUUUUGAAGGGAAGAGUCCAACACAAUAGCUUGCUAUUGGGAUUCUCAAGUGUUGCCCAAGUGUUGCACUAUAGCAUGGGCCUGGCAUGCCCUAA
Glycine soja is the source of this 196-nucleotide non-coding RNA. Lineage: Eukaryota; Viridiplantae; Streptophyta; Magnoliopsida; Fabales; Fabaceae. The record is from Rfam.